GACGAACGCUGGCGGCGUGCCUAAUACAUGCAAGUAGAACGCUGAAGGAGGAGCUUGCUCUUCUGGAUGAGUUGCGAACGGGUGAGUAACGCGUAGGUAACCUGCCUGGUAGCGGGGGAUAACUAUUGGAAACGAUAGCUAAUACCGCAUAACAGUAGAUGUUGCAUGACAUUUACUUAAAAGGUGCAAUUGCAUCACUACCAGAUGGACCUGCGUUGUAUUAGCUAGUUGGUGGGGUAACGGCUCACCAAGGCGACGAUACAGAGCCGACCUGAGAGGGGGAUCAGCCACACUGGGACUGAGACACGGCCCAGACUCCUACGGGAGGCAGCAGUAGGGAAUCUUCGGCAAUGGACGGAAGUCUGACCGAGCAACGCCGCGUGAGUGAAGAAGGUUUUCGGAUCGUAAAGCUCGGUUGUAAGAGAAGAACGAGUGUGAGAGUGGAAAGUUCACACUGUGACGGUAUCUUAUCAGAAAGGGACGGCUAACUACGUG
Molecule: ribosomal RNA, 495 nt
Filed under: uncultured bacterium
Lineage: Bacteria
Description: partial 16S ribosomal RNA
Rfam family: Bacterial small subunit ribosomal RNA
Source: RNAcentral